CUAUUUUGCCGUCGACCACUUCUGUUCUGUCAGCCCAAUUUCUUUCUCUUCUUGUUCUCGCCGGCGACAUGAGUUCUCCGCAUUUCGAUUCUGUCCUUUUGUUACGUCAUUCAGGGAACGAGCAUGUUCGCCGUCACCGGUUUCACCAAGCGACCCGCUGUGGUGCUCGUUGCUGGGCACAUCGUGGACCAUUCCCUUUGCCUGGAAUCUGAUAACUGCUGGUUACCUUGAGCUGACAAUAUAUGGGGUUGUCUUCAGUACCCUUGUUGUCUCCUGUUUCUGGGGAAGUUGCUCGAACCUGUCCGGGGUUCCAAUGAAUUCCUGAAUUUCAUCUUCCUGGUCAACUUUCUUACAUCUCUAUGUGUUUUCGUCACCGCUGUUGCCUUGUACUAUGAGGCGGGACAAUUACCUGUUUCCAUGGUGUCUUGGCGGCUCUCCUAGUUGGGAUAACCUGAUCAGGAGCUAUCACCAUUACGAACAAAAGCAAAGGUGAAGGAAUUGUUUCCCAUGAGCUCACAGCUUCAUUCGCUCAUAAAACAAGGACCCUUUUCUCCUUCACAGUUCACCCGUCCCUUCUGUCUGUCAAUGGAUCUUGACAGUGAAAUGCAGAUCGAUCAUUGACCCUAUCGCGUCAAUCUUUCACCGGAUGGUUUGUGGACGUUCUGAUACCUCUGAUGAGGCCCAUGGUUACACUCUGGGAGGUGCUCCAUUGCCAGGUUU
Molecule: long non-coding RNA, 720 nt
Organism: Tarenaya hassleriana
Lineage: Eukaryota; Viridiplantae; Streptophyta; Magnoliopsida; Brassicales; Cleomaceae
Exons: 6
Source: RefSeq, a predicted model, not a curated record